CCUACGGGUGGCAGCAGUGGGGAAUAUUGCGCAAUGGGCGAAAGCCUGACGCAGCGACGCCGCGUGAGGGAUGAAGGUCUUCGGAUCGUAAACCUCUGUCAGCAGGGAAGAACGGUCACUGUGCUAAUCAGCAGUGAAUUGACGGUACCUGCAAAGGAAGCACCGGCUAACUCCGUGCCAGCAGCCGCGGUAAUACGGAGGGUGCGAGAGUUAUUCGGAAUUACUGGGCGUAAAGCGCUCGUAGGCGGUAUGUCAAGUCAGGGGUAAACUCCCGGCGCUCAACGUGGGACCGGCGUUGAAACUGGGAAACUUGAGUGGGUGAGAGGAUAGGGGAAUUCCAGGUG
RNAcentral lists this ribosomal RNA (344 nucleotides) under uncultured bacterium. RNAcentral describes it as "partial 16S ribosomal RNA". It matches the Rfam family "Bacterial small subunit ribosomal RNA", at positions 338 to 675 of the family's 1533-position model. The record is from RNAcentral.